This 1036-nucleotide ribosomal RNA is filed under the name uncultured eukaryote. RNAcentral describes it as "SSU rRNA". It matches the Rfam family "Eukaryotic small subunit ribosomal RNA", at positions 640 to 1695 of the family's 1831-position model. The record is from RNAcentral.
UUCUGUGGGGACGGAGCGGCCGGCCGCAACUUGCGGUUCGAGCUAGCGCUUUCCCUACAUCCUGCCGCGAACCGUGCUACCAUUAAUUUGGUGGCGCCGGGGAUCGGCUCGUUUACUUUGAGAAAAAUAGAGUGUUCAAAGCAGGCCACACGCCUUGAAUAAGUUAGCAUGGAAUAAUAAUAAAGGACUUCGGUUCUAUUUUGUUGGUGUUCGGGACUGAAGUAAUGAUUGAUAGGGACAGUUGGGGCGGUCAGUAUUCCAAAGCGAGAGGUGAAAUUCUUAGACCUUCGGAAGACUAACAGCUGCGAAAGCGUUCCGCAAGGAUGUUCCCUUUGAUCAAGAACGAAAGUUGGGGGAUCGAAGACGAUCAGAUACCGUCGUAGUCUCAACUAUAAACUAUACCAGCUAGGGAUCGGCCAACGUUAAAUUAUCCGACUUGGUCGGCACCUUAUGAGAAAUCAAAGCAUCUGGGUUCCGGGGGGAGUAUGGUCGCAAGGCUGAAACUUAAAGGAAUUGACGGAAGGGCACCACCAGCCGUGGAGCCUGUGGCUUAAUUUGACUCAACACGGGAAAACUUACCAGGUCCAGACAUAGUAAGGAUUGACAGAUUGAUAGCUCUUUCUUGAUUCUGUGGGUGGUGGUGCAUGGCCGUUCUUAGUUGGUGGAGUGAUUUGUCUGGUUAAUUCCGUUAACGAACGAGACCCCAGCCUGCUAAAUAGCGCGGUUGAGCUUUGCUCGGCGCGAGCUUCUUAGAGGGACUAUGAUGCGCGAUANACAUGGAAGUUUGGGGCAAUAACAGGUCUGUGAUGCCCUUAGAUGUUCUGGGCCGCACACGGGCUACACUGGCGCCUGCAACGAGCAUAUCAGCUGGCCCGAGAGGGUCUUGGCUAAUCUUUUGAACCGGCGCCGUGCUUGGGAUUGACCAUUGCAAUUGUUGGUCAUGCAACGAGGAAUGCCUUGUAAACGCGAGUCAUCAACUCGCAUUGAAUACGUCCCUGCCCUUUGUACACACCGCCCGUCGCUCUACCGAUGAAUG